GAGGAUAUAGCUCAGUGGUGGAGUGCGUGCUUGGCAUGCAUGAGGUCCUGGGUUCAAUCCUCAGUGCCUCU
RNAcentral lists this transfer RNA (71 nucleotides) under Camelus bactrianus (Bactrian camel). It matches the Rfam family "tRNA". From Rfam's summary of the family: Transfer RNA (tRNA) molecules are approximately 80 nucleotides in length. Their secondary structure includes four short double-helical elements and three loops (D, anti-codon, and T loops). Lineage: Eukaryota; Metazoa; Chordata; Mammalia; Artiodactyla; Camelidae. RNAcentral also lists the same sequence under 2 other names. The record is from Rfam by way of RNAcentral.